RNAcentral lists this ribosomal RNA (252 nucleotides) under uncultured prokaryote. RNAcentral describes it as "partial 16S ribosomal RNA". It matches the Rfam family "Bacterial small subunit ribosomal RNA", at positions 524 to 775 of the family's 1533-position model. The record is from RNAcentral.
UACAGAGGUCCCGAGCGUUGUUCGGAUUCACUGGGCGUAAAGGGUGCGUAGGUGGCAUGGCAAGUUUGAUGUGAAAGCUCAGGGCUUAACCCUGAAAUGGCAUUGAAUACUACUGUGCUGGAGGUUUGGAGGGGGGACUGGAAUUCUCGGUGUAGCUGUGAAAUGCGUAGAUAUCGAGAGGAACACCUGUGGCGAAGGCGAGUCCCUGGACAACACCUGACACUGAGGCACGAAAGCUAGGGGAGCAAACAG